CUUUCGGGCGGGGAUUAGUGGCGAACGGGUGAGUAACACGUGGGCAAUCUGCCCUGCACUCUGGGACAAGCCCUGGAAACGGGGUCUAAUACCGGAUAUGACUGUCCAUCGCAUGGUGGAUGGUGUAAAGCUCCGGCGGUGCAGGAUGAGCCCGCGGCCUAUCAGCUUGUUGGUGAGGUAGUGGCUCACCAAGGCGACGACGGGUAGCCGGCCUGAGAGGGCGACCGGCCACACUGGGACUGAGACACGGCCCAGACUCCUACGGGAGGCAGCAGUGGGGAAUAUUGCACAAUGGGCGAAAGCCUGAUGCAGCGACGCCGCGUGAGGGAUGACGGCCUUCGGGUUGUAAACCUCUUUCAGCAGGGAAGAAGCGAAAGUGACGGUACCUGCAGAAGAAGCGCCGGCUAACUACGUGCCAGCAGCCGCGGUAAUACGUAGGGCGCAAGCGUUGUCCGGAAUUAUUGGGCGUAAAGAGCUCGUAGGCGGCUUGUCACGUCGGUUGUGAAAGCCCGGGGCUUAACCCCGGGUCUGCAGUCGAUACGGGCAGGCUAGAGUUCGGUAGGGGAGAUCGGAAUUCCUGGUGUAGCGGUGAAAUGCGCAGAUAUCAGGAGGAACACCGGUGGCGAAGGCGGAUCUCUGGGCCGAUACUGACGCUGAGGAG
RNAcentral lists this ribosomal RNA (661 nucleotides) under Streptomyces sp. RNAcentral describes it as "bacterial SSU rRNA". It matches the Rfam family "Bacterial small subunit ribosomal RNA", at positions 78 to 753 of the family's 1533-position model. The record is from RNAcentral. Lineage: Bacteria; Bacillati; Actinomycetota; Actinomycetes; Kitasatosporales; Streptomycetaceae.